AAAAGAAGUGAAAAGGAAGGGUCUUAAUUAGUAGAGAUUGAUCAUCCACAUGAAUUAAUUUGUACCAUAUCACUGUAGAAAUGAUAAUAAUGCGAUCUCCUUUGUUUCGUACUGUUCAUCUAAUUUAUAUUCAACUUAUAAUUUGUAAUAAGUUGGGCACGAGGUUAUUACUGUUUCUCUAUGGUUUAAUUUUUAUUUUACCAAAAAAUUAUAUAUAAAAUAGAACGGUAAAUUAAUUUUUUUUAAAAAAAUUACAUAAUGGCAAAGUAAAAAUUAUACUAAACCACAGCAGGACAGAGUGCAACAUUUUAAACCACAUAAUAAUAAAGUAAACUUUUUUGAAUACUAAAUAAUAAAAUUAAAAUGGGUCCGGCUACUAUACUAUUAUGAGUACGAUCGCUCUCGUACUCAUAAGUUGUUUUCGAUGAUAGAGCUUCCGAAUCGACGAUCCACACCGUUAAACGUUAUUUAUAGCAUUUAAAACUUCUAGAAAUUAAAUUUUAUAAUUUUUCGACAUCAUUUACCUUACGAUCAAGAGGUCACAAAUUUGACAAUUUUUAACGGCCGGUAUGGGAUACUUGCUAGUUUAACGGUCUAAAAGAAUCGGAAUUUAUUGAAUUUUUGAUAGAAAAUUCUAUUCACUACAUAAAUAAAGAGCAAUUACUCCGAUCUUGAAUUGAAGGAUCUGAUCAUCUUUUUUUAGAACGUCGUUCGAUUUUGACCGUUCAUUUUAUGCCCACUUGAUGGACUUUAUUAUGAAUUCGAAAAUUUACGAAAUUUAUUUUCUAGAAGUUUCAAAUACUCUAGAUCAUAUUUAACGGAGUGGAUCGUCGAUUCGAAAGCUCCAUCAUUGAAAACAACUUAUGAGUACGAGGGCUCCAAUACUCAUAAUAGUAUAAGAGCCAUGGCCAAUUAAAGUAAGCUAAAACACAUCGGGAUAAUUUGAAGUUUAAUAAAUGUUUUGUACAUAGUGGGUGGAAUCUUGCUUGUGGUUUACACUCUAUUUGGAUUGUCUUGUUUGUGGUACCAACUCAUUAAUCGUAAGAGUGAUGUGUAAGCCUGUAAGGUCGAAUUAUUGGCAUUUCAUUAUCAGCACCAUUUAUGGUUGCAAUAAUAGUAAGGGGGUGUUUCGCGUAACUUGUGAAAAUUAAUUUUGGGCUCAAAAGUAAUUUUCGGCUUAAUAAAAGCGUUUGGCAACAUCGCUUUAAAAAUCUGAUUUUGAUUUUAAGAAUUAAUUUUCUGAUUUUCGAAGUCCAGAAUUAGAAUUAGCUAAAAUCUACUACUUGAAAUCUGAUUCUAAUUUUGAAUUCAAAUUUCAAAAUUUUUAUUUUGAUUUUAGAUUCAAAGUUUAAAUUUAAUCUUAAUUUUAACUUUUAAAUUUUAAAUUUAUAUUUGAAUAUUUUUUUUCAAAAUAUAAAAUAUAAAAUAUAAAAUAUAAAAUUUUAUACUUAAAUUUUAAAUUUAAAUUUUAAUCUCAAAUUUUUAUUUUAAAAUUCAAAAUUUCAAAUUUAAGAGAAAAUCUAAAUUUUAAAAUUUUAGAAUUUAAAAUUUAAAAUUUAAAAUUAUUAGUUUUAAUUUUAAAAUUUCAAAAUUUAAAUUUUAAAAUAUAAAAUUUAAACUUGUAAAAUUAAAAUUUUUUUAAUUUAAAUUGAAAAUUUACAUUUUAUUUUUAAAAUUUUAAAUAUUUAAUUUUAAAUUUUAAAUUUUAAAGUUUAAAUUUAAAAUUUAAAAUUUUACUUAUAAUUUUAAUUUUAAAUUUUAAAUUUUAAAUUGAAAAUUUAAAUUUAUAUUUAAAAAUUUAAAAUUUAAAAUUUAAAAUUUAAAAUUUAUUUUUUAAAUUUAGAAUAUAAAUUUUAAAUUUUAAUUCAAAUUUAAAAUUUUAAUUUAAAUUCAAACUUUAAAUUAUUUUGAAAAUAAAAUUUAGUAAAAAUAUUAUUAUAUGCGAACAUUAAAAAAAAAUUUAUUAAACAGUUUUAUAAAAUCAUUUCAAAAAUAUCAUUUUUAUCUAAACUUAACAAAACGCUCUUCACCUUUUAGAUAAAAUCAAUUCUUCAAAACAAAAUUAAUUAUGCAAAAAAUACUUUUACAUAAUAUAA
RNAcentral lists this long non-coding RNA (2096 nucleotides) under Ananas comosus (pineapple). Its description in RNAcentral is "long non-coding RNA (ACOM_LNC022933)". The record is from RNAcentral. Lineage: Eukaryota; Viridiplantae; Streptophyta; Magnoliopsida; Poales; Bromeliaceae.